Long non-coding RNA from Myotis davidii, 1350 nucleotides. RefSeq lists it as uncharacterized. The transcript is spliced from 4 exons. The record is from RefSeq and is a predicted model, not a curated record. Lineage: Eukaryota; Metazoa; Chordata; Mammalia; Chiroptera; Vespertilionidae.
GGGGCUGCACUGUUAAUCCUGAGGCCUGGAGACGGGACUCGGUCGACACUGCGGUCAGACGAAAAUGGAACUUAAACGGCGCGGCCGCCACUGUGCUUAGGGUAAAGGGCCGGUUGUUCGUCUUAAAGACCUGGGGACGCGGGACCCCGUUAUUCAGGAAAUGCUUUAAACACAUCGAUUUUCCCUUCUUCCUUGUUGUCACCUUGCAAGAAAGUAAGUGGGAAAAACAAUUAAAUUUUGUAAUUUCAUGGUAACACAUUCCUGAAGCUGGAAGGGGCCUCAAGAGAUGAUAUGGUCAAAUCCUCUUGUGGCAGGAAGAUUUUACAGGAGAGAAGGAUAAGGACCAGAAAGUCAAGUGAUAGGCCUAAGAUGAAUUCCAUGAAAACAAGUUUUGGAGGCUUCUGGCUCCUUGUACAGUGGUCUGUGAUGAGACCCAUGUGUUCCCUCUGUGGUCAUCUGGGAAGCAUCAGGCACUUAUAAGAGAUGGACCAGGGAGGAUAUAUUUAUUUGUUUAUCAUAGAUUAAAAUCAUAGACGAAACAGUGGAUCUGAUAGGCAUGCACAAGCCAGGUCCAGACAUUGAAAUAUUCAAUCCAUCAUCUACAUCUUGUAAAUAAUAAAUCCACUGUGGUUUACAUACAAUGUUUAAUGCCCGAAGAAUUAAUUGAAGAUACUGGUGGAGGUGUCGAACCAGAACCAUUAGCCCUCCAUCCUCAUUGACUUCCCUGGACCAUUCUGUUUCUCCUCUCCUGGAUUGUCCUGAAUGUAGAGGAAACUCCUCUAUAGCUUCUAAGCAACCCAGUGCACUUAACAACCACAAGUUUAAAUAGAGAUUCUGACACCGGGCAUACAGCCGGACAGAGAUCAGACGAUCUAUAAGAUUUGCAACAGGUCUCCCCUAGAUCAAUAGGAAUAUCAUUUUCCAUCAAACACAUGGUGUGAAACCCUCCACAAGGCCCCUGAACUGAAAAUACAUCAUCGAGUGGCUUGUAGUGAAUUGCGCCAGCAAUUACUCCUGCAUGAUCAUCAUAGAAUCUUGCAGAUUGAAGUGUGGCAAGUGAUAAUUGUGUCAGGAGGUUUGCAGAAACUGCUCCACACAAGUCUGCACAUUCUGCUUGUUCAGUAACAGUAGGAUCACCCAUAGUGUGUACCACAACUUUUGUAACAUGGCAAACAUCAACAACUACUUCAACAGGAGUAUCUUUGGAGACAACAAUAAGUUCAACCCUUUGGUAAGCAACUAAACCCUUAAGCAAAUGGAAAAGAUGCCAAAACUGAGAUAAGGGAAUUAAAUGCAUAGUUGAGUGCAUUUGGCAACUUGCUCCUCUAAUAAAAGACACCAUCUCUUUAA